GAUCAUGGCUCAGGAUGAACGCUAGCUACAGGCUUAACACAUGCAAGUCGAGGGGAAACGACAUCGAAAGCUUGCUUCGAUGGGCGUCGACCGGCGCACGGGUGAGUAACGCGUAUCCAACCUGCCCACCACUUGGGGAUAACCUUGCGAAAGUAAGACUAAUACCCAAUGAUAUCCUCUAGAAGACUACUCUAGAAAGGGAGUAAUUAAAAGUAUUUAGUCGGUGAGUGGAGGUGGGGAUGCGU
Molecule: ribosomal RNA, 245 nt
Filed under: uncultured bacterium
Lineage: Bacteria
Description: partial 16S ribosomal RNA
Rfam family: Bacterial small subunit ribosomal RNA
Source: RNAcentral